GACGAACCGUGCGAACGUUAUUCGGAAUCACUGGGCUUAAAGCGCGUGUAGGCGGGUCGGCACGUCGGUCGCUGAAAUCCCCCGGCUCAACCGGGGAAGUGGCGCCGAUACGACCGACCUGGAGGGGAGUAGGGGGACCUGGAACAUCCGGUGGAGCGGUGAAAUGCGUUGAGAUCGGAUGGAACGCCCGUGGCGAAAGCGAGGUCCUGGGCUCUUUCUGACGCUGAGACGCGAAAGCCAGGGGAGCGAACGGG
This 254-nucleotide ribosomal RNA is filed under the name uncultured bacterium. RNAcentral's name for it is "partial 16S ribosomal RNA". It matches the Rfam family "Bacterial small subunit ribosomal RNA", at positions 524 to 776 of the family's 1533-position model. The record is from RNAcentral.